RNAcentral lists this ribosomal RNA (253 nucleotides) under uncultured bacterium. RNAcentral's name for it is "partial 16S ribosomal RNA". It matches the Rfam family "Bacterial small subunit ribosomal RNA", at positions 524 to 776 of the family's 1533-position model. The record is from RNAcentral.
UACGUAGGGUGCAAGCGUUGUCCGGAAUUAUUGGGCGUAAAGAGCUCGUAGGCGGUCUGUCGCGUCUGCUGUGAAAACCUGGGGCUUAACCCCGGGCCUGCAGUGGGUACGGGCAGACUAGAGUGCGGUAGGGGAGACUGGAAUUCCUGGUGUAGCGGUGAAAUGCGCAGAUAUCAGGAGGAACACCGGUGGCGAAGGCGGGUCUCUGGGCAUUAACUGACGCUGAGGAGCGAAAGCAUGGGGAGCGAACAGG